UCGCAAGUAUGAGAAGAGCAUGCGAAGGAUGCCUUGGUUCUAGGAGGCGAUGAAGGACGUGGUACGCUGCGAUAAGCUGUGGUGAGGUGCGAUCAACCCUUGACCCACAGAUCUCCGAAUGGGGCAACCCAUCCCGCAAGGGAUAUUCCGCAAGGAAAGCGAACGCAGAGAACUGAAACAUCUCAGUACCUGCAGGAAAAGACAUCAACCGAGAUUCCCCAAGUAGUGGCGAGCGAACGGGGACCAGGCCAUUGGGGUGACAUGUAAAAGCAGAACGGGAUGGAAAGCCCGGCCACAGUAGGUGAUAGCCCUGUACGCGGUGAUUGCAUGUCAUUCCAUCGAGUAGGGCGGAGCACGUGAAACUCCGUUUGAACAUGGGAGGACCAUCUUCCAAGCCUAAAUACUACCUAGAGACCGAUAGUGAACUAGUACCGUGAGGGAAAGGUGAAAAGCACCCCGAACAGGGGGAUGAAACAGAUCCUGAAAUCGCAUGCUUACACAGCAGUCGGAGCCCGUUCGCGGGUGACGGCGUACCUUUUGUAUAAUGGGUCAGCGAGUGAUUGUAGCAAGCAAGCUUAAGCCGACAGGUGUAGGCGCAGCGAAAGCGAGUGUUAAUAGCGCGUUUAGUUUGUUGCAUUCGACCCGAAACCGAGUGAUCUUACCAUGAGCAGGUUGAAGGAUGGGUAAUACCAUCUGGAGGACCGAACCGGUAUCUGUUGAAAUAGAUUCGGAUGACUUGUGGUAAGGGGUGAAAGGCCAAUCAAACUCGGAGAUAGCUGGUUCUCCGCGAAAUCUAUUGAGGUAGAGCCUCGGAAUUAGCGAGUUGGGGGUAGAGCACUGGAAAGACUAGGGGGGCAUAGAGCCUUACCAAAUCUUACCAAACUCCGAAUACCAACUUUGCAUAUCCGGGAGGCAGUCCACGGGUGCUAACAUCAGUGGGCGAGAGGGAAACAUCCCAGACCACCGUCUAAGGUCCCUAAAUUAUAGCUAAGUGUAUAAGCAUGUGGUGUUGCUCAGACAACCAGGAUGUUGGCUUAGAAGCAGCCAUCAUUUAAAGAAAGCGUAACAGCUCACUGGUCAAGCGACGCUGCGGCGAAAAUGUAUCGGGGCUAAGCUAUAUACCGAAGACGUGGGCUUCUUUUAGAAGCGGUAGCGGAGCGUUGCGUAAGCCUGUGAAGGUGCACUGACAAGGUGUGCUGGAGGUAUCGCAAGUGAUUAUGCUGACUUGAGUAGCGAUUAGACGGGCGAGAACCCCGUCCGCCGAAAUCCCAAGGGUUCCUGUUCCAUGCCAAUCAGGGCAGGGUAAGCCGGUACCUAAGGCGAGGCCGAAAGGCGUAGUCGAUGGCAAUCAGGUUAAUAUUCCUGAGCUUGUAGGUGGUGACGGAUCGAAACGAUCGUAUUCUCUUAUUGGAUUGAGGAUGCGGUUCGGAGGUUCCAGGAAAUAGCCCCUACGUAUAAGCCGUACCCUAAACCGACACAGGUGGGAUGGUAGAGUAUACCGAGGCGUUGAGAGAAGCAUGGUUAAGGAACUCGGCAAAUUACCCUCGUAACUUCGGGAAAAGAGGGCCCUGCUGGCGGGCAACCGCCGGUGGGGGGCACAGAAAUGGGGGUGGCGACUGUUUAUCAAAAACACAGGGCACUGCAAACUCACAAGAGGAAGUAUAGUGUCUGACGCCUGCCCGGUGCCGGAAGGUUAAUUGAUGGUGUGCAAGCACCGGAUCGAAGCCCCGGUAAACGGCGGCCGUAACUAUAACGGUCCUAAGGUAGCGAAAUUCCUUGUCAGGUAAGUUCUGACCCGCAUGAAUGGCGUAACGAUCUCCCCACUGUCUCAACCAUGUGCUCAGCGAAAUAGAAUUCCCCGUGAAGAUGCGGGGUACCCGCGGCUAGACGGAAAGACCCUAUGCACCUUUACUACAACUUUGCAGUGGGCUUAGGAAUGUUAUGUGCAGGAUAGGUGGGAGCCGGUGAAGCCAAGGCGUUAGCUUUGGUGGAGGCAACGGUGAGAUACCACCCUUAACAUUCUUGAGUUCUAACCCAGCCCCUCACACGGGCGGGGACCCUGCAUGGCGGGUAGUUUGACUGGGGCGGUCGCCUCCCAAAGAGUAACGGAGGCGCUCGAAGUUCGGCUCAGGACGGUUGGAAACCGUCCGUUGAGUGUAAUGGCAAAAGCCGGGCUGACUGCAAGACUGACAAGUCGAGCAGGUGGGAAACCAGGACAUAGUGAUCCGGUGGUUCUGAAUGGAAGGGCCAUCGCAAACGGAUAAAAGGUACGCUAGGGAUAACAGGCUGAUCGCACCCAAGCGUCCAUAGCGACGGUGCGGUUUGGCACCUCGAUGUCGACUCAUCACAUCCCGGGGCUGGAGCAGGUCCCAAGGGUUCGGCUGUUCGCCGAUUAAAGUGGUACGUGAGUUGGGUUCAAAACGUCGUGAGACAGUUUGGUCCCUAUCUACCGUGGGUGAAGGAGUUUUGAGGAGAGUUGCCCUUAGUACGAGAGGACCGGGGCGAACACACCUCUGGUGUAUCUAUUGUCGCGCCAGCGGCAUUGUAGAGUAGCCAUGUGUGGACGGGAUAACCGCUGAAAGCAUCUAAGCGGGAAGCCUCCUCCAAAACCAGAACUCCCUAUCAGGACCGUGGAAGACGACCACGUUGAUAGGCCAGGUGUGUAAGCACAGCAAUGUGUUGAGCUAACUGGUACUAAUUGUCCGAUUGACUUGUAAUUUA
This 2721-nucleotide ribosomal RNA is filed under the name Pseudomonadaceae bacterium. RNAcentral describes it as "23S ribosomal RNA". It matches the Rfam family "Bacterial large subunit ribosomal RNA". Lineage: Bacteria; Pseudomonadati; Pseudomonadota; Gammaproteobacteria; Pseudomonadales; Pseudomonadaceae. The record is from RNAcentral.